This 2159-nucleotide ribosomal RNA is filed under the name human gut metagenome. Its description in RNAcentral is "bacterial LSU rRNA". It matches the Rfam family "Bacterial large subunit ribosomal RNA", at positions 27 to 2197 of the family's 2925-position model. The record is from RNAcentral.
GAUGCCUUGGCACUAGGAGCCGAUGAAGGACGUGACUAACUGCGAUAUGCUUCGGGGAGUCGUAAGUAGACUGUGAUCCGGAGAUUUCCGAAUGGGGAAACCCAACAGGUUUUGCCUGUUAUCGCUCAAUGAAUUCAUAGUUGAGCUGAAGGUAGACGCGGGGAACUGAAACAUCUAAGUACCCGCAGGAAGAGAAAGAAAAUUCGAUUCCCUAAGUAGCGGCGAGCGAACGGGGAACAGCCCAAACCAGAGAGCUUGCUCUUUGGGGUUGUAGGACUGGACAUCUGAGUUACCAAGAAAUAACGUAGUCGAAUGAUAUGGGAAGAUCAGCCAGAGAAGGUAACAGCCCUGUAAACGAAACGUUGUUUCCUCAGUCCAGGAUCCUGAGUACGGCGGAACACGUGAAACUCCGUCGGAAUCCGGGAGGACCAUCUCCCAAGGCUAAAUACUCCCUAGUGACCGAUAGUGAACCAGUACCGUGAGGGAAAGGUGAAAAGCACCCCGGGAGGGGAGUGAAAGAGUACCUGAAACCAUGUGCCUACAAGUAGUCAGAGCCCGUUAACGGGUGAUGGCGUGCCUUUUGUAGAAUGAACCGGCGAGUUAUGCUAACGUGCGAGGUUAAGGCGGAAAGGCCGGAGCCGCAGCGAAAGCGAGUCUGAACAGGGCGAACGAGUACGUUGGUGUAAACCCGAAACCAGGUGACCUACCCAUGUCCAGGUUGAAGGUGCGGUAAAACGCACUGGAGGACCGAACCCGUGUAUGUUGAAAAAUGCUGGGAUGAGGUGUGGGUAGCGGUGAAAUUCCAAUCGAACUUGGAGAUAGCUGGUUCUCUCCGAAAUAGCUUUAGGGCUAGCCUCGGAGUUGAGAAUCGUGGAGGUAGAGCACUGUUUGGACUAGGGGCCCGUCUUGGGUUACUGAAUUCAGAUAAACUCCGAAUGCCACUGAUUUAUAUCCGGGAGUCAGACUGCGAGUGAUAAGAUCCGUAGUCGAAAGGGAAACAGCCCAGACCACCGAUUAAGGUCCCUAAAUAUGUGUUAAGUGGAAAAGGAUGUGGAAUUGCACAGACAACUAGGAUGUUGGCUCAGAAGCAGCCACCAUUUAAAGAGUGCGUAAUAGCUCACUAGUCGAGUGAUCCUGCGCCGAAAAUGUAACGGGGCUAAACACAUUACCGAAAUCGUGGAUGCAGCUUUGCUGCAUGGUAGGAGAGCGUUCUAAGGGCGGUGAAGCCGGACCGUAAGGACCGGUGGAGCGCUUAGAAGUGAGAAUGCCGGUAUGAGUAGCGAAAGACAGGUGAGAAUCCUGUCCACCGAAUGACUAAGGUUUCCUGGGGAAGGCUCGUCCUCCCAGGGUUAGUCGGGACCUAAGCUGAGGCCGAGAGGCGUAGGCGAUGGACAACGGGUUGAUAUUCCCGUACCGGUCUGAUUUGUUUGAGCAAUGGAGGGACGCAGGAGGCUAACGAUGCGCACUAUCGGAUGUGCGUCCAAGCAGCAAGUCUGUCGGCGAGUCAAAUGCUUGCCGGCUCAAGGACAAGCUGUGACGGGUAUGAACGAUUUAUCGUUCUAAGUGAGCGACGUCACACUGCCAAGAAAAGCUUCUAGUUAGAAUCAGACCGCCCGUACCGCAAACCGACACAGGUAGUCGGGUCGAGAAGACCAAGGUGAGCGAGAGAACUCUCGUUAAGGAACUCGGCAAAAUGACCCCGUAACUUCGGGAGAAGGGGUGCUGAUCGCAAGAUCAGCCGCAGUGAAUAGGCCCAGGCGACUGUUUAUCAAAAACACAGGUUUCUGCAAAAUCGUAAGAUGAAGUAUAGGGGCUGACGCCUGCCCGGUGCUGGAAGGUUAAGAGGAUGGGUUAGCGCAAGCGAAGCUCAGAAUUGAAGCCCCAGUAAACGGCGGCCGUAACUAUAACGGUCCUAAGGUAGCGAAAUUCCUUGUCGGGUAAGUUCCGACCCGCACGAAAGGCGUAACGAUCUGGGCACUGUCUCAACGAGAGACUCGGUGAAAUUAUAAUACCCGUGAAGAUGCGGGUUACCCGCAGCAGGACGGAAAGACCCCAUGGAGCUUUACUGUAGCUUGAUAUUGGAUUUCGGCAUUGCAUGUACAGGAUAGGUGGGAGACUGCGAACUCAGUACGCCAGUAUUGAGGGAGUCACCGUUGGGA